AACGAGAUCAUGGCUUUGCUUCCCUUCCUGUGGAGCUCUGGCCACUUACUAAACACCUGCAUCAUUGCUGCUUCCAAUAACACAGUGACACUGUCAUGGCUCAAAAGAACAGUUUGAAGAGGGUUGCCAAGUUGUGCCUGAGAAUCAUCUGGAAGACUUAUUAAAACACAGACUCCUGGAUCCUACCCUCAGAGAUUAGGAUUUAGUAAUUCUAGGUUGGGAUCUGAAAAUUUUUCACAAGUUCCCAAGUAAUUCCUCUAGUUCAUGCCUCACAGUUUGAUUAUGUUUGGUAGAUUGCUCCUUGUUUAAUGAUAAACACAGCUGUCAGAGCCAGGAUGGUCAGAAGAGACGAACCUCAAAAAACAUGUAACAUAUUUGACAGUUGGUACCACAAUUCUGAAUACCUGAUCCUUGAUAGUGCUGUACCUGG
Molecule: long non-coding RNA, 430 nt
Filed under: Marmota monax (woodchuck)
Lineage: Eukaryota; Metazoa; Chordata; Mammalia; Rodentia; Sciuridae
Source: RNAcentral